This 496-nucleotide ribosomal RNA is filed under the name uncultured bacterium. Its description in RNAcentral is "partial 16S ribosomal RNA". It matches the Rfam family "Bacterial small subunit ribosomal RNA", at positions 29 to 507 of the family's 1533-position model. The record is from RNAcentral.
AUGAACGCUGGCGGCGUGCCUAAUACAUGCAAGUCGAGCGCACAGACGAGGAGCUUGCUCCUCUGACGUUAGCGGCGGACGGGUGAGUAACACGUGGAUAACCUACCUAUAAGACUGGGAUAACUUCGGGAAACCGGAGCUAAUACCGGAUAAUAUAUUGAACCGCAUGGUUCAAUAGUGAAAGACGGUUUUGCUGUCACUUAUAGAUGGAUCCGCGCCGCAUUAGCUAGUUGGUAAGGUAACGGCUUACCAAGGCAACGAUGCGUAGCCGACCUGAGAGGGUGAUCGGCCACACUGGAACUGAGACACGGUCCAGACUCCUAAGGGAGGCAGCAGUAGGGAAUCUUCCGCAAUGGGCGAAAGCCUGACGGAGCAACGCCGCGUGAGUGAAGAAGGUCUUCGGAUCGUAAAACUCUGUUAUUAGGGAAGAACAAAUGUGUAAGUAACUAUGCACGUCUUGACGGUACCUAAUCAGAAAGCCACGGCUAACUACGUG